CAAAAUAAACACAAAAGGGGAUUAGGGUUUACGUGUUGUGCCUCUUGGACUUGCUCCUCUCAUUCUUCGCGUGAGCAACGGCGCCGAUUCUCCCCUCCAGCGAAACUUCUCCGAUGAAAGCCUCUUCCCUUCGCCGUGAAUCAACCUACACAACCACCACACUCUCAUUUCUCGUCUCUCAUCUUACGAUCUCAAUUCUCAGCGCCGCGGCGAACGCACCGUUUCUCUUCCCUUUCUACUCCCGUUUUCGAUCUCCUCUCUCAACAAUCAGAAAAACGCACCACGCAAGGCAGUGAAGGUGUUUACCUACCGGAGAAGUCCGGUACUUCUCCCAAUUUAAUAAAGGUGAAGAGAAUCCCGUAGUUCUAUCAAGAGUUCAGUGGCAUUGUAGAAGUAUUGUUAUGAUGAUGAUGAUAAUUGCUGCGUCGUGAUGAUAAUGAAGUGUGACGAAGAUGAUGACACCAUGAAGUUUGAAGUGUGAAGACGAUUGGUGAUGAUUCAAAGAUGAUGAUGAUGAAAGUUGAGUGAAGUUGAUGAAGAAGUGAAGGAUGAAGAUUCAAGAGCGAACCAUUCUGAGCUUGUUACAGGUUUAUGGUGGUGGAGGUUGAAGAAGAGUGGAUGCAGAGGUUCUGUUAUCGUUGAGGUGAAGGUUGUUGGUGAUUGAUGAAGAGGAUGAAGAAGUGAUGAAGAUGAGUGAUGGAAGCUGAAUGAUGGUGGUGAAGGAUGGAGGGUGAGAAGAAUGAAGAGAGAAUCCCCAAAUGAUGAAGCAGGCUAAGAUUUAUAGAGGUCUGUUUUCGAGGUGCUGCAAGUCUGUGAAUGUUUGAUGGCAGCUCCGGUUUUAUUUUGCGGGUUUUGAGUGGUUUUCUAGAAGGUAUUGGCAUGGUGUCGAAUUCUGAAGUAUGUGGCUUGGAUGUGUUACGAAACUGUGAGCGAACCGUAUGGUGAAGAUUAUAUUGAAGAUUCUGAUUUAGGUUUUGGAACUUGUCAAGUCAAAAGAUAGGCUGCAGCAAGUGUAUUGGUGCGGAGACGCAACUAGUGUAAUCGCACGGCUCAUGGUGUAUUUGGGACAACACAGAGAUGGGUUAAACUAUGAAGCUUGAAGAUUGGGGAGAAAGAAUAUGCUUGAAGUUUAGUAUAGAAAUGUAACUAAUUGACUUUGUAAUGAGACUUUUUCCUCUUUUUUGUAUUGAAUUGGAUUGGAAGGGAACAUUGAGCAUGUAGAUGAUUCUCCUUGUAAAGUGAUAUGAUAUAUAUACAUAUGGUUCUUGAAA
Long non-coding RNA from Vicia villosa (hairy vetch), 1271 nucleotides. RefSeq lists it as uncharacterized. The record is from RefSeq and is a predicted model, not a curated record. Lineage: Eukaryota; Viridiplantae; Streptophyta; Magnoliopsida; Fabales; Fabaceae. The transcript is spliced from 6 exons.